GAUUGUCACCAUCCUAGCUAGCUAUGAUAGCUAUGCUAGAUAGAUACCUCCCCAGAGUCUCUCGCCAGAGACGGAAUUAAGAAUAAGAAUAAAGAAUCUUUGUAGGUUAUUAGCUAGCUUGACAUAUUAUAUACAGAUCUUAACUGCGUUCGAGAAUGAGGUCAAUCUCUUUACAUAUCGUGUAUCAUAGCGGCAGUGACAGGGGAGAGAGGAGGAACAGGAACAAUCUCACAACCUGACCAUCUACUGGGCUCAGUGGGCUGAUUGACUGAAAUACGGAGCUGCCGGUAGCCCCGCCCAUUGGGAAACAGCAUGUGAACCAAACCACUUUGAGGAAUAGGGGGAUCAUGAUUUUUCAACACUUAAAAAACACAUUGUUUUACGUUUAUAAUUAGCACCGCUUGUGUCGUCGUGCUUUUAAUAUUUCUAUUUUUUUUUUCGUUUUCUUUCUAAUGAUUGUUGGGGGGGGAUCUCAGCCUAUGAAUGCUAGCCAGCCUGCUCGCUAUCUAAGCUGCUAACGUUAGCUACAUGGUAUUUGUGGUGGGUUGUGAGUAACAUUUGCCAAUUUCUUUUCAUUUCAGAAAUGUCCCUGCUGGAGGCACAACUUGCUAUUUCUCUUUCCAACUACCGAGUGUUUCUUGCGGGGCUCCAAUUGGGACAUCAAGACAGGCUAUCUCAUGAAACAUACAUACAUACAUACAUGAUAAUAUGGAUCUAUAUGGAUUUGGAUAGGUUGUUGGGUAUAUUUUGGAGGGGCUAUAGACAUCAAAUAUAUCCUCACAAGAAAAUACAAUAUAUUACACUGAAACUAAUUUAAAUGGUUUGCUGUAGUACAGAAGUCAAGAAUGAGUACGAAUGCUUGACAUACAGUGUAGUGACAGGUAUUUGCUUUUGUAUUUGGUGAUUUUGGAGAGGUUAUGAGACACUUGGAGACGUCUAAAGAUACCAUAUGGAAACUGAUGUGUAACACUUGUAAACCUUUGUCUAUCUGCUUCAAAUUUUUUACACACACUGUCAAUAUGUUGUUGAAUCAGGA
Clupea harengus (Atlantic herring) is the source of this 1036-nucleotide long non-coding RNA. The record is from Ensembl. NCBI's taxonomy places the organism in Eukaryota, Metazoa, Chordata, Actinopteri, Clupeiformes, Clupeidae.